CCAUUUAAAGGGGAGGUCGUUCUGGUUUUUGUCAUAGUGUUCGGUGCCAGCACAGAUUGGCUUCAAAUGAAGAUAGAUACUGGAUUGGGGAGCUGAGAACUAUGGCUUGAAAAUCCAUCAGCUUUAGGGCAAAUAAUCAAUGAGCAGGGGCAUGUUUACCAAAGAUAAUCGGCUUACACUGCCGAUUUGAUGCAAGGUGCAGGUUGAUUUUGGAAAACUUCAAUGCAAAUCGACUUGUUUUGAAUGUCUUGCACUCACAUGUAUAUUUCCAUUUGCAUAUGAGAACGAGCUAUUUGAUUAUUUGGGUGUUCUGUUAUAUUUGACUUUAUAUUUAUUAGGAUUUCUUUUUUCUGAUGCCCUCUACCUGGGGUUCCUGGAAUUUCAGUCUCGUGUCAUUCCACAGCUCAUUUAUUUAUUCCAAAGUCUUUUUUGUACAGAAUGUUAAAAUUGCCCUUUUCAAGUUUAAAUGCAAUUUGGAGUUGGGAGAGAGAGUUUUGUUAUUAUUUUAGCAUAAACUUGCUGUGGAAAUAAAAGAUGGGCUGUGGCAUUGUCAUUUGCCAUUAACAUGUGGCACUUGACAUAUAAGGAAAUACCUAUAUAAAAAUCUUACAUGCUCCUUGUUUGGAUUGCGAUUUUCCGUCAAAAAAUUACGUCGUUUUUCGUGAUCACAUUUUCUUAUUACUUUUUUUUCUCACAUACAUCAAAUCACUACAGUAAUUUUUUUAUGAAAAAUGACGGAAAAUGCAAUCCAAACAGGUUUGUCAGGACUUGGAUGCUCCGGGAGUUCAAUAUUUUGCCAAGUUGCAGCACUGUUAACCAUGUGAAAUAAUAGCCAAGACAACAGCUUCUAUGAAUUUUUUUUUAUUCUGUAUUUGUUUGAUUUAUGUAUUUUUUGAAAUCGACCUAAGAAAUGGAGCAAUCAAUCUAAAGAAUCUUAAAGGAGGAUGGGGAGAAGCAAGUGCUAUUUUCUUUGAUCUUUUUUCAAUUUCUUUCUCUUUUCCUCAUUUCUAAUCCCUAAUUAAGACCUCUGUUAUAAUUUGUUGAAAGCUUAAGCAAUAGAUCAGGUAAUUCCAUGAGAGAAUGGUAUUUUAUUUAACUAUUUAUAAAGCACAAGCUAGUUUACCGUGUGUCGUCUGAAAAUGCAUUCAUGGGAUAUUUGUCUCCUCUUCUCCCACCCCUUAAACUCCCAAACUAGCUGGAAGGAUCUCAUGUAACAUGUAGAAAAUCGAAAUGCUUCCUUUUUUUACGAAUUAAAAAAAAAAAAUUACCAUAAUGUAUCGCAUGUCGUUACAAUUUGCUGUCAACAGAAGACAGCAUCGUAUUUGAUUACCAUGCUUCAAAUGCCGCAAAAGCAUCAAGAAAGAAAGAUGUUCAUUUGACAUCUUUGGAUAAAAGAUUAACUUUGCUGACCGGUCGAGCAUUGCAAAGAUCAUCUGUUGAAUCACCUCUCUCAAAUACACCUGCAGCCCCCAUUCCAGAACCUAGAUAUGCAAAGCAGAGAAAAGAUUGGUAAAGAUUGUCUACCAGAAGACUAUCUGUUGACUACAUGAUCGAUCCUCUCUAAUAACAAUGAAGUAGAAGAAGGUAUAUAACACAGUAAUGGAGAGAAUGUAGGGAGGGACCUAUGCACAUGGAAAUCACACCAAAACGGCAGUCCCUGCCCCUUCGCUUCAUCUCAUGUAAUAAAGUUGCAACACAACGAGCACCUAACAAAAUUUGCAAUCUGUUAUUAUGAUUUUGGCAAUUGUGCAGAUUGGUGCGUUUCACAGAUCAGGAUACCAGAAAUUCAGGGAGACAUGCACAAGGGUCAGAACUGAUCCAAUUAGAGAUGCAGACUUUACCUGUAGCCCCCAAAGGAUGUCCAAGAGCCAUUGCUCCUCCAUUCACAUUAACUUUUUCCAUGUCAAGCUCCAGUUUCUUGCAGCAAUAUACGUAUUGCGAUGCAAAUGCCUGUGGAGUUCAAUGAUUCUAAUUUAAGGUGAAAAUUUCCAUUAACAAAGCAGAGUUAAAAUGCCUGUAAACAAAUCAAGUACCUCAUUUAUUUCAAACAGAUCAAUGUCAUCAACUCCAAGACCAGCAGACUUUGCCGCAGCUGGAAUUGCAACUGCUGGACCUAUUCCCAUCACUGCAGGGUCCACUCCAGCAACGGAGAAGCUCCUGCAUGAGAAGCAGCAGCAAGUUGAUGUCAACUCUUGAGAGCAAUUCAGGCAUGCUCAACAUUCCUAACUCUUGAUUAGAAUAAUGCAUUAUGCCAAGCAUUUUAUUCUCAUUUCAGAAAACAUCAUUCUUUCGUUUUCAUUUUCUUCUCCGAUACUAUUCAACAUUCAGAAAUGACUGCAGCUGCUUCCGCAGAGAGAAGGAAUUGACCUGUCUCAGGAAUCACCAAAUGCUAAUUUAAUGUGCUUUUGUGUAUAGAAAAAUAUUUAAUCUAGCUUAAUCAUACUAAAUAUACAUUGUUAUGGUAGCCAAGUGCCUCCAAUUCUUUUAUGACUCUUAAAUCAGUCUCUCUGCUUGUUAUGGAAUUUCAUGAGUAAAUUAACUUGUCAGUAAGUUUCAAUUGAACAUAGCAUGGCCUAUUGCAAUAACGAUUAGUUCCAGGAGAAACGACAAACCUUCAGUCCAGACUAAUUCCUUUGGAAAAUAAGAACAUCAGAUAAACAUGAUAACUUUAGUGGGUGAAGAUCAUAGAUUUAGCAUAAGCAGCCUCAGGUAAGUAAUUGAUAAAAUCACAAGAGUUACAGGAUUUGUUAGCCAAGCUAAAUACAUAUCUUCAAAAGGACUUCAAAAUAAUGGGCAUAUAAGGUGGGCAAGCUACAUUAAGCAUUCAAAAGAUUGGCCAGAUAUAAUAAAAAUUAAACAAUGUAUUUAUGAGUUUGGCACCUUUUUUUUCAAAGUUUCAACCUUUUUGUAUCCAAUGAGACAUUUGAAAGGACCUUUGUGCUUUUAAUUGAAACAGAAAUCUGGUAAAAGUUUCUUAUCAGUUGGUAAUGAGUGGAUUCUUUGUACCAGAAAACAACCCAAUACAUCCAAACAAGGUGUACAGGGAAGUUUCUAAAUACAAUGCGGUUGAUAUACAUCUAGUACUACAAAUAAGGCCCAUGACAUCCUCUCACUCUUUAUAGAUCAAGAGUCAAAAAUGUCAUCAGAUUAAGGAUAUGUCAAGGAGUAUAAAGCGGUUAACAAAAAUUGAGAACUAAGAAAGGAUUAUCAUUAAAGCUAUACCAGCUUACAAAAAAUAGUAGCUCGACAAAAUUAACUGCCGAGGUACAUGCCAGUUCUCUAUAAAAAGUUGAAAAAACAUCUAUAAGAAGGUAUACCAACUUGCCACAACAUGCAUACCUGAAUAUUCCAAGAAUUGGAAGCCCCUUUUCCAUUGCUAGACUCCUUUUCAUCAGAAGAACUGCACCUGCUCCAUCACUUAUCUGACUAGCAUUCCCUACAAAUGGUAUACUUGUUCAAACAGACUUCAAUAAAAGAUGAAGAUAUGAAGGCACUUGGCAGUGUCUAAUGUCCACUAGAGCUAAACAGUACUUGAGUACCAGCAGUUGUAGUUCCAUCUUUCUUGAACGCAGGUUUCAACUUUGCCAGAUCUGUCAAGUUUGUGCUUGGCCGAAUGCCAUCAUCCACUGAAACUGUAACUGGCUUCUCCUCUCCAUUUUUAGGGUCCUUGAUCUUUCAUGGUAAUCUCAGUUAGAAAGCAUUCGAAACGGAGGACUUACAUUUGGGCUUCAUAUUCUUUUCUAUGUGGGCUAUAUAAACAACAAUAAAAAGAUAGGCUUCACUUUCAAAGAUGAGUCUACUACCUUGGUGAAAACUGGGAUGAUUUCGUCUUUAUAUUUACCAGAUGCAGUUGCUGCAGCAGCACGCUUGUGAGACAUAACCUAUUGUUGCAAUAUUACGAGUUCAAAAAUUUUUCUCCCACCAAAUCAUGCAUCAGAAGAAAUAAAUAGAAAGGUCCAUGACUUACAGCAGCCUGGUCUUGUUCUUGCCGUGUUACCCCAUACCGCUCUGCAACAUUUUCAGAAGUAAUGCCCAUAGGGAGAAGACAGUCCCGGGCUUGUGGAAAGAGUCGACCUGUCAUACAAAUAUCUCCAGUUGAGGAUGCUACUUCACAAAUCAGAAGAUCUGUUCCAAAAGGUAAAGAGUAAGUAGAGCUGAGCUUACUCGUGGAUUAGCUUGUUGGAUGCUAACAUUGGAAUUAGUGGUCAUUGACUCUAACCCAGCCCCAAUCCCUGCAUGGGAAAGAAUUAAACAAGAAAUUUGAAUAAAACUAUCACCAGUUAUUAUUUCGAAAGGUAAUUUUUUUUUACCUAUGUCGUAGAAACCAGCUUUAAUGCAUGCAGCAACAUCAGCAACUGCCUGGAGGCCAGAAGAGCAUUGUCUAUUGACAGUUCUGAUGGGCACAGUUUCUGCAAAAAGGUACAAAAUUAUACAAGAGACAACCACAACUUGCAAGUAAAGGACAUUGAAGAUAAAUGCAGACAAUAACCAGCAAAAGGAAUUAUUUCCCGUAUCUGUUAGAAAGGACUUAUAACAGAAAUAGAAUGUCCAUUUCAUUUAGUUUAUCCUCUUAAACCAAUCAUAAAAUGAUUCCAAUUUAGAAGGCUGCUACUAUAAAUAUUCGUACAAUUUAUAUUCUGCAAUAUUUUUCUCUUCCUGGUUGCCAACUAAAACAAAGCAUCACAUGUCCACUCAUCCAGACAACAAAUUAAACACAAAAGAAAAAAGAAUGAACUAUUUACCAGGAAAACCAGCAUAGAAUGGCCAUCCUGCAUUCAGUUGCUCUUUGUGAACCUGGAGCUACAACAGUGCCCACAACUAUAUCCCCCACCACUCGCUUGUUAAUAUUUGUCUUGUCGAUCAAGGCCUACAAUGAAUGAUAAAUGUAGGAUGAUACACUAUAAUUGUUGAAUGAGAAGUUCCAAUUAUAGAAGUGGAUAACAAAUGCUAUAAUAAUAGAAGAUAGAACAAGAAUGGGCAGCUGACUUAAGAAGCAAAGACAAAGAAAUCUAAGCAUGAGACGUUCCAAAUAAGACACUUAUUUAUUGUUAAUCUAAAUUAUUAUUCAGAAAAUCCAUUUCUGUUUUAAAAACUUAAAACGUAUUUGGCUGCUACAAUAUUCUAACCAAAAUCACUUAGAGCUGUGACCUUGAACAACAUGAAAAUCUGUUCUGCAACUGACCUUCAGAACUGGAGCGAGUAAAUCAUCCGCAAGGGUAUCUUUGAAGCCACCACGUUUUGAUUUGCAUAUCGCAGUCCGAUAUGCCCUGUAGAACAUGACUUGUCGUUAUCAAACUGACGGUAGAAGAGCCAUUUGGCACAAACUAGGACAAAACAAUCUUGACUGCAAGUAACUUACGCUACAAUGACUACAUCAUCUCCAAAAGCAGCUGUCCUCUGGUAAGCAGCACUAUCCCCCGCCAGACAAAUUGACGGCUAGUCGAGUAUCCCAAAAUAAAUUAUACAAAAAAAAGGGUAUGAGAAUCGAAAAGUACAAUAUUGUGUCAUGACUGCAAGUUCUGGGUAAUAGACAAAUGAUGAUCAUAGCAAAGUCUUUGAUACAGUUUAGUUCCCCCAAACGAAAACUUGUCCUAUCUUGAUCUAAAACAAAGUCUUGAGCACAGAUUUAAGAGAUGUUCUUUAGCUUGAAAGCCACGGAUUGAUUAUCAUAUUAUGAAGUUGGAUCACAUCAAAAGUUAUGCUACCAAUUCUAAUUGCAAUCUUGCGUAAAAUAAGCAAAAACUUAUGAUUCGCGCACUAGCUUAGAAGUGAUUGCUUUGGCAGAAUAGCAUGAAGCAAUCCAUAUUCUUUAAAUAAGAAAGUUCUUUACUUGUUUCAACUGCCGUUGAAAUAACACAGCAAAAUACCAUCGUCCCAACAUCCAACUAUAUAACAGGGUAAUGCUAGCUAGUAACCUAACACAGUAGACAUCAAUUAACUUCUAAACUUAGUUCCAGCAUUCCAUCAAGCAAACUGUUGACAGUCAUUAUUCUCAAAAAAAAAAAAAAAAAAAAAAUCUUCUCUUUGGGUAAUGAAAUUAUUGCAAUCACCCUCCAUUUGACGUAAAUUCUAGCCCCCGCCGGGCCACAACCAUCCAUUAAUAACGUGAUUGAUCUAAAAUUUUCAUUUCAGAAUAUAUUUGAGCAAUAGAAUUAUAAAUCUUACAGAAAUUGAAGAAGAUUCUUCAUGGGUCAGCUGAUGAGAAAAGCAAGAAGUGGGUUGCAGGUGUUCCAGCAAAACUUUUUGUCUGAAGAUAGCUUUCUCCAUUUCCUGGCUUCCUCCAAGUUCUCACCAACUCUUUUUUACCCUCUCUUUGUUUCUUGAUCAAUUAAUCAACGAUGUUAAAGCCCACUUUGCACUCGAAUAAGCUAAUUUGGCAAGAUACUUGUAUAUAUAGAGUGGAGGUAGCAGCCUUGAAUGCAAUAUGGCCUUCAAAUUUUAUCGCUGACCAGCAACUUUAAUGGUAAAUAAGUUUUAAAAACCGAAAUUGCUGUGGCGUUUUUGGGUCAAGUUCAACUACCGAAAGCUUGUUGGUAUUCCCUCCCUUUUUUUAUAACUGUCGUUUAAGAAAUUUGCUUCUAAGUACUUUUAUCUGUCGUUUUACUAUCCCUACGCAGCAUUUAUUAUUUUUUCACAUUUUUACCCUUUUAUCUCUCUUACUCCUAGUAAUUAUUGCUUCUCUCUGCCCUUCCAUAUUCUUUCUUCUUUUCUCACCGUAUGUUGAACCCCUUUGUUCUUCUUACUCCUAGUAUGUUGAACCAUUUAAUACAGUGAGAGAAAACAUGGGUGAAUGGAAUAAUUAAUGAGGGUAUAAAAGGAAAGUGGUAUAUAGAUUUAAGCAAUGAAAACUUUUCUUAAUUGACGUGCAAUUCUUUAAACGCCAGUUAUAAAAAAAGGGAGGGAGUAUUAGUCUUUUUCGUUUUUGGCGUUGGUCUUGGUUUUGGGUAUGCGUGUCUUCACCGAUUGCAGUAAUGCACUUGUCUGCCGGUGGGGACUUUGGCAUUAUGAAAUGCAUGAAGAACGUGGUGGGCAGGGCCGUGGGUGGAUAUCUCAAUCCGAGUUUUCCCUGAUUUUGUUGCAUUUGCUCCGAAAGUUCAAUGGGAAUCACACCGUGGAAACUAAGAAAGAAAACUCAUGGAACUUUUGACGAAGCUACACUUGAUCUUCGUGUGGAAAUUAAGAAAGACCUUAGCUUUAUUAGACUUGUUACUGUCAUUUGCACUCAGCACCCCCCGAUUAUUCUUAAACUAUUAAAUUACAGCACGAUGCAACCCUUCUUUUAUUAUUUAUUUAAACUUGUUUUAAUAGGGGAAUGAUGGAACUUUAAAAAGUGGAGAGAGGGCAGGGGAUUAAAUUUAAAAUCUCUAAUUCUUGAGAUCUCAACCUUAAUCAAAUUCGGAAAUAUAAAUAAGAAGAACUCUUUUUUUUUUUUUUAAACUACAUGAAGUACUCUUUUCACCAUAGCACCCCGACAGCGUAUACAUGCCACCAUCCACCAUAUAUAUAUAUAUAAUUUUUAACUUUUUUUUAAAUAUAAGUGAGAGGAUUUGAACCCGAAACCUUAUAGUACUUAUAUUAUCUCUUUCUCUCGAAUCACCCAACCCAUCCCAUCCCAUCCCACUUUUAUAUAUUCUUGUAUUUAAUAUAUUUCUUACUUUUUUCUAGUAAUAUAAAUAUUAACAAAAUAUAAGCAUUUAUGUGGCUACUGAAAAAAGGCCAACCUAGCGCAGUUCACUUAGGUAAGGAGCUUAUGGUCUUUUUAAUUGCAAAGGGCUAACUAGUUUCCAACGUAAUUUAGGCUAUUGAGAAAGUCUACAAUAAACUAUAAAGCGUGAGAUACUAUGUUGCUAUAACUUAUAGUUUAGGGGGCAAAGUAUUAAUCAUGAGUAGUUUAGGCGUGCAAAUUACAACUACCCCUUUUAAUUCAUCUUAAUUGAGUUAAAAUAAAUUUGUUAAGAUUUCAAAUAUUUUUUAAGCUAUUUUUAUUUGAAUUCUCUUGCCCCAUUCGUUUUAAAAAAGGAUUUCAUGGUGGUGUGUGGGACAUGAUCGUUGACUUGUAGAAAGAAAAGAAAGAAGGUCUCCAUUCCCUUGAAGUUUCGGGGAAUUAUUUAAGCUUAAGAAAUUCAUCAACAAGCCAUGAAAUUAAUAACAACCCUUUGCCGCCCUUCCAAGGCAGUCAAGCUGGUCUCACUAAGGGUUAGUACCCCCGAGGUCCAGUGUUCAAGUCUUGUCACAAAAAUGGGGAAUAGCCCAACAACUCGAAUAAGGGUUGGGGUCUGAAGUGGGGUCAGGUCCUUUUUUUAGAUUAAAAAAUAAUAAUAAUUACAACCCUUUGCCCUCAAACAUGUUUUUUUUAAGGAGCAAUUAAUUAAGUAAUUUAAGGUAGUUAAUGGGAUUAUCAAACACCUUAAAGUCCUCACAACAAGUCACUAUAGGGGGGGGGGACAAUCAGGAAGGCCUACUAAAUUAUAAUUAAUUAAAGUGAGUUGUUUCAAAUCCAGAAUAAAUGAAAUAAAAAACAGAGUGAUGGCUGUAUUUAUUUUUUUAAAAAAAGUAAUACUAUAUAAAAUCCCAUGUGUUGCAACAACAUCUCUCUUAUUUCUGCACUUACGGGGCCAAAUUGGCAUCUGAGCCUUGAUUUUGUUGCACCGUGACUUGUAAGAUGGCUAUCAAAGGUUAGGUAUGCUUGUACAAUUCAUUGCUCAGUCAACAGAAUAGAACAUGGAAGAAGAACAGCGAGAAAUCAUAGUAAUUCAAUUGUCUGAUUUCUUUCCUUCUACGUCUUCACAACUUCAUUUAAGAUUUGAUCUGCAUUCAUUCAUGAUGAAAUACCCAGUAUUCAGUUGCAGUGAGCUCUUAUCAAAUACCAGUACCAGAAAAACGAGGAACAAAAACAGAAUUGUACACUUCCAAAGUCGAAAAAACUUUCUUCAGCUUUCUUGGAAUCGAAAAACUGCUCAACUAUCAGUACCGGUUAUGGAGAGUACGACUGGGAGGUACUUGACCAGGACAUGUAAUGUGGUCAGGCAUAACUUAACUAACAUCUUGUACCUUGCCGCCUCGGUGGCUAGGCGGAAGCCGCAUAACCACACAAAUUUAAGAAGCUUUCUACAGUGAUAUUCCACACAAAUUCGAGCUUAAGCUUAUUUUACUUUAAUCAAACUCGAUCAAAUCGAAGUCAAACGAGUUUUUAAGCUCAAAUUUUUUUUAGUGAAUUUCAUAAUUUUAUAAUAAAGGAUAAAAUACACAAAACUCCCUUGUGGUUUGACUAAUUGACACGCUACCUCCUCAUUAUUUAAAAACACUCACACUACCCCCUCGUACUUUAGACUAAAGUGAAAUUUAACCGGUAACCUGUAUGCUACCUGCAAGUGAUGUAUUAUUAUUAUUAUUAUUUUUUAUUUUAUUGUCAUUUUUUCUUUCAAUUUUGGUGCUUUGACUUAACUAUCAUUUGUAUUUUUACAAAUUGUAUAAUUAGUUAUGCACUUUUAAAAUUUUCUAAAAAUUAUUCAUACCCUCUCACUAUUUUGCUCUGCCAUCUCUCUCUACUGACGCCAGUCGCCACCACCACUCGCUGCUUUGUCUCCAAAGAUUUUUUCAAAACAAUGACCCCAAAAUCCUCCCUCAAUUUAUGCAACACAGGGUCCUCGUUAGAUGCUGAAUCAGGAAAUUCUUGUGGGUUCGCUCCGGCCCAAUCACCCGAAUUACGCAGAUUAAGAUCGUAGUACAUACUCUCAGAAGUCGGGUCAGACGGGAACUUCAAAUUGGAGCAUCGGUUGCUCUUGAGCAUUAGAUUGGAGUUGGAGCUUGAGGUUCUUCAUCUUCUUAGUCGGCCUCCAUUCGUUGGGCUUAGGAGGAAUUAUCCGAUUAUCCGGAUUUUUUGCGAUUGGGGCUUUGGAGAAGUCGAAUUCGAUAAUGAAUUCUUUUGACUCUUCGGUGUCGGUGGCAGCGUCAGAGGGUUUCUUGAGGGUCGAAUUUUAGGGCUUUGAGGAGAGGGGGAAAGAAAGCUUCAUCUUAGCAAAGAAUUGAAAGAAGAUUCUAAACUAAAAUCUCCGAUCCCCCAAAAACCUACAAAUAAAGGCGAGGACUACUUGCCAUUACCAAUGACUCUCCAAUGCAAUUGAUGCAGUAAUUUUGCCUGCAAUUAUAUAGGGUUUAAACAAUUUAGGUAUUUUCUUGGCUAAUCCAGAGUGAGAGGAGAGAAUAAAAGACAGAAUUGGAGCAGUAAUUUUGGAUGUGUGCUUUCUUCCUAUGCUAAUUGUUAUGCCUCACGCCAAGGCGUAAGGGUGCCAAAGAGGGAGAGUAUGAAGUGGUGGAAGGGAUGGUGUAGAGUUUGGGUGGCGAGGGGGAUGGUGGUAUGAAAUGGUGGUGCAAAGUUCUGGUGGGAAGGGAUGGUGGUGUGAAGUGGUGGAGGGGAAGGGGAGCAGGAGAGAGGAGAAAAAAGAAAGAAUAAAAAAAUUAGCAGAUGCCAAGACCUUUGCUUCGAUAUUGUGAGUUGUGGAGAAUGUGAAAUGGAGGAAGAAGAAGAGGAAGAAUAGAAAAGAAAAGAAUAAAAAAGGAAAGGAAAGGAAAAUAAAAUAAAAAAGAAAAAAAAUUAGUAAUAGACAGACUACCGGUUCAUAGCAGGUAAAAAAGCGUAAUUCUACUCUAAUCCAAAGCACGAGGGGGGUAGUGUGGGUGUUUUUAAAUAAUGAGGAGAUAGCGUGUUAAUUAGUCAAAUCACAAGAAGGUUUUCUGUAUUUUAAACAAUCAAGUACUUGAAUUUUAAUUUUUUUUCUACUCAAAUUUAACUCGUUUACCUUAUUUAUAAAUAGUUUGAACUCAAUUCGAACGCGAUCAAUAUUGAAUUUGAGUCGAGUCUUUAAUUGAACUAUUGACGAGUCAAAAUCAAGUAGCUAGUAUCAAAUACUUCGAACUCCACUCAAACUCGGUCCUUUUUUUUUUUUUUUUGUCUCCUUUGUAGAUGACUAAUCGAACUUCCAGUUCUAAAUUUUCUUAGACAAGGCAAACAACCGUCGGGCCGGACGAUUGGAUUCAAAACCCAGCUUCUCUUGGGUAAAGUGAAUUAGUUCUUGACCGGAGCAAACUCUGCGUUGGCUAUUAGAUUACAGACUGAGUGGUUGAAGGAUCGCAACCGUCAGAAUCAUCCUUUAGUGGAUGAGGGGACCUGGACCGUUCUCGUUUGUCCCCCGCUAGCUUGCAAGGAAGGAGUCCGUUCAAGGAAAGUGCAUCCGUGACCCCAGGUGUAAUCAGUAAUCACCCGACCUUUUACUGUCUCGUCUCUCGCAUUCGUGCUAAAUAUGUUUGCGCGAUUGCCUUUGAUACAAGGCUAUGGCAAUUCGCACCCAGUCGCACCGACCCGAUCGUGGGGUAUUAUUCACUUGGAAAAAGUGUUUUGAUAGUUCCAUUGCAGAUCAGCAAAACCAUAUGCUGCAUACUCUAAUUUCUCUUGCGAUCAAAAGGUGAGCAUAUUAGCGAAACUUGCCAUUGAAGAUGUAAAAGUGGUUUAGCUCUUGUGUUACAAAACUUGUCUUUUAAUUCUUCUAUCUUCAAAUUGCUUUUUGUUUCUUUUUUUUUUUUUUAUCAAAAUGGGUUGUGAGAAUAUUUCUCAUUGAUAGCUUAUUAUUUCACUUAUUAUGUCCAGAUAAAAAACCAAAGAAAUUUUAUGUGUAGUUUGUUUUGUCAGUAUAUGAAUUAUAAAGCAUAGUUAUACAUCAAGUAAAUGCAUCUACAGACUGAAAUUUUGCAAUUAUUAACAUAAUUCUAAUGUAGCAAUAUACUACUCAAAAAUUUUGAGGUAAGUACGAAUAAUUUAUCUUUUUUUUAACAUGGUAAAAAUAAUUGAAAUGUGAGAUACCAUACAAAGCAUUAGUUGUGGUCAUAUUGAUGCACAACUCUCUAAUCAGCUUUAGGCUUAGUUUGGGAGUUUAGGAUAGAAAAGAAACUAAGGAAAAACUUAAAUUAUGAGAGAAGAGAAAGAGAACAAUGUUAUGUUGUUUGAGAGUUUUAAAAAUUAGUGGAAUAAUUUUGGAUACGGAAGUCAUUAAAUAUUUAUUCAAUAACUUUUUAAGGACAAAAUGGGCAUUUUGAAAAUAUUUGACAAGCUUCCUCAAAGUUUCCUUUCAUUUCCGUCCAAUUUGAGAGAAAAAGUUUUGACUGCUGUGACGCUUGAAUCCUCCCAUUUCUUUCAUUUUUUGUUCUUACUAAAAAGUAAAAACUAACAAACAAAGAAAAGUUUGUUUGGACAAGAAUGAUUUGAAAAAUAAUAAUUUACUUGCAUCAUUCCAACAUACCUUUUUAUCUUUUCAAUCAUUUUUUUAUCUCACAUACAUCAUAUUGCAUAUAUUGAUUCAGUAAUUAUUUUAAAUAAAUAUCUCAAAUAAUCGCGCAUCCAAACAUAUUCAGACUUCUUUCCCUUUUUUCUGUCUAAAUUCUCAACUCCAAAACAAAGCCUUAAAGUUGUUUUUUUGUUCGCAUCGCGCAAUAUCCUUUUCUUUUUUUUUUCUCUUCUUAUAUCACACUUCCACGAUGAUACUUUAGAAGCCGCGGGAGGAGGAGGAGUUGUCUAUGAAAUUGUGAGCUUGAGAGGAAGCCUCAACGGUGGUCAACAUUCAAGAUAUUUUUUUUAGUCAAAAUGUCACUUCAAUUUAUAUUGAUAUAAUUAGUGCCUUUACAAGCAUUUACUAUAAUUUCGGGCAACUGCCAUACGAGAUGACUACUUCUCAUUCAAGAAUUCGGACGGUUAAAAGUUUCCUCUGGUCUAGACCGUACAGCAGCCCAAUGAUAAGAUUUAUUAAAGUUUAAGAGGACGAUGCUCUGACUCAAUUGCGCUCGUAGACUCGCGUGCAUGUGACAUCUGAAUUCCAAAAUCAUUUGUACCGACCUUUUAUUACAGCCAUGCGUUGAGUUAUUUUGUGUGGAUAUUGCAUUUUUUAUUCAAAAUAAAAAAUGGUGUUUUUUAAGGGAUAAUUUCAUAUACCCCGUCGAGGUUUCUCGUAAUAUCACUCAACUCUUCUGAAGUUUUAAAAAUUUCGUUUACUUUUCUUAAAUUGACAUUUCUUGUAACAUUUUAAUCCUUUUAGAAGAAAUACAAUAAAGAUACAACUUUUGUUUCAAUACUACCUUUAUAUUGUCCUCUUAUGAAAUUAUAACAAUAAUAAAAAAUAAGGUUAAAUUUUUAUAAGGUGUAAAUUUUUUGACGAAACUAUUAUUUUAGUCGUGUUAGAACAAAAAUAAAAUUUACACCUUGAAAAAUUCACGCAUGUGAAGAAGAGAUUAUUUAGUUUUCAAUACAAUUUAAACUACACCAUGAAUUAAAACAUAAUUCCUCAAAAUAUAUCUAGAUUUUCUUAAUUGUAACUUAACUAUGCACGAAAAUUUUCAAGAGAUUAAUUACUUACCAAAAUCCUCCUAAGUUGUUGACCUUGAUUAAAUUUAAUUUAUCUACGUCAUUUGCUAUUCCACCAUGAUCCUAAUAUAAAGAAAUGUGAACCGUUAUUAGCUAGCAAUUUAUUUUUUAAUUUUAAUUUUUGGUUUUAAAAUUUUAUUUUAUUUUGGCUUUGUGCUUAAAUAGUUAUUAAGAACAAGAGGCAGUGUUGUCAAAUUGUGACCUUUGAUAUGAAUAUUUAGUCUUAUCAAGUUGAUAGUAGAAGUAAGUGAAAUUUUAAAAAUUUUAAGAGAGUUGAGUGAUAUUAUGACAAACCUCAUAGGAGGUUUCUAAAAUUAUCCCUUGUUUUAAUUUUUUCUCAAAACUAGCAAUCAAAAAUACAAGUUUUUUUUAGUGAAUGGGGGUACAUCUACAAAUUAGCAGGAUAUAUUCAAAUUUUUUUCAAAAGGCUGCCCAAUAUUCAAAUUUUUAUUUUGUUUCAGUAGAGGUGAAUUGAACAAUGAGUAACUUUGACCAAGAUUUCAACAACAAAUUUUCUUCUCCUCCGUACUUCUUUCAUAGUAGACUUAGCAAUCUUUUUUUUUUCUGAAUAAAAAUCUAUGUUUUAAUUGUAUCUUAUCAAUUUGAGAUUUACAAUCAUAUGGAGUUUAAGUAAAAAAGAAUAACAGGGAAAUGGGAUACUAAGAAUAGUAGGAUCGAAAGUGAAAAAAAAAUGACAGAUAAAUUGAAAUAAGAUAGAUUUGAGUAUGACUAGAUGUAUAGUUUAAGAAGAAUAGUGAAAGAAAGGUGUUUGUUACUCCUUUUUGUUUUUGUUUUUCUACCGUCUACACAAUGAAAAGUGAAGAAAUAGAUGACUAUUAUUUCUUCUCAAAAAUUUAAUGUCAAUGCUUACAAAUUCUCAUUAAAAGUGGUGAUAAUUUUUAAAAUUUAAAUAUGAAACAAAUAUUAAUGUACAUCAUUUUCAAACCAAAUGUCUAUUAGUUGUAAAGGACUACUCUUUAUGAGUUUGAUAUUUAUUAUUGACUCCCAACAUUUGAAUAUUGAGCUUAUUUUGAUAAUUGUUCAAGCUGUAGCAUGAACAAAUAUUUAUACAAUCAAAAAAAAUUAAAUUCAAGAAAAUUGAUAAAUUGUGAAGGUAGUUAAAAAAUAUGAUAUUGAGCCAGACUGUAACCUUUUUUUUUUUUUUUUCUUUUUUGAAAGCCGGUUGUAGCAUUCAAAUGGUAGACGGGUCAAUUGUAAUUUUGAAACGACCCGCAAUUGUGUCCAACUGGAGUCAGUUGCGAGUGGCAAUGACGAGCAUUUUGGCGUCAGCAUACGUAAUUAUAAAAUGAAAAUCACAAAAAAAAGCUCUCUGGUCUGAAUCUGAUGAUUAGACAGAAUCGUUGCUGUAGGCUAGUUGCGGUUAUUUCUUGUCCUCCGCUCGAUUCCAGCAUAAUCUCAGACCCUUCACCCACUCCCUCUAACGUGCCUUUUUUUCGGAGGGGGGAAAAAAAAAUUCUUUUUUCUUUUCCUCUGUCCUUACUGUUACUUCCUCAACUCUUUGCUUCACCAACACUCGUAUCCAUAGCUACCUUACCGAUAUAUAUUUCUGGAGUUCUGGAAAGCUCUUCAGAUCUGGAUCGAAAGGAGCAGGAACGGCGAAGUUCGCCGGAAACGGUGAUGGCGGAGUCGUUGGAGAAAGUUGACCAGGCUAGAACUUCUUCGACUUCCAGCGAAGUUUCCGUGGAAUUAGAGAAGGAAGCUGAAGGCGGAAGUAUUAGAAAUGGUUAUGGUGGUGAAGUACACACCGUCGACUGUAGCAGCAGUGAUGCUCCAGUUUCUAAUGGCGGAGGUGACUCUUCAGGUUUAUUGAUUGAACUCGUAGCAAAUUUUUUUUUUUUUUGCUUUCCCAUGCGAAGUAGUAGGACAUGAAGGUCGAAAUUACGACGAUUAAGCUAAAUCGAACCCCCUUCCCGGCUGAUGCAUCCUUUUUGGUUCUGAUGAAUUAGAAACUUCUCAGUUCUUGCGCAAUUCGAAGUGGAACUCUCUUUUUAAGUUCUCUUUCUUGAAAUUAGGGUGUCUACGUUUUGGUAUGGAAGUAAGAUGAGAGAUGUGACUGUUUGAUUGUUGUUUGGCAUUGGAAUGGUAAAAGUUCCAAUUGAAUUAAUUGCUAUUAAUUUGCCAGGAACCGCUGGGAGUAUCUCCAGAGUGACUACAUUACAACCUGAAAUUCUGAGUUUAGACAAAUUGGAACCACCUUUAAAUAAUUUUACGUUGGAAAGAGCAAAAACUGAGGGCCAGAGGCAUCAUAACAUACUUUCUGAAGAGGCAGCACAAAUUUUUGACGACAAAAUUCCUGUGCAACAGAAGGUAUUGUUAUGUCCUUAUUGUGUUUGCGUGUUUCUUUCACAUGACAACAUUGCGCAUCAUUUACAAAAAAAGGUGCUAGACUGUUAAGGGCUUUCUAUUUUAUUUUUAUUUCUUUUUUCUUCAGGGUUUAUGAUGUGGAUCUUGGACUUUAUUUAUUGUCAAAAUUAGUUUACCGGCUAGAGUGAUUGCUAACAUAAACGACUAAUAUUGUAUUUGUGUGGCAUUCAUCGAUCAACCUGAGAGUUGAAGAAGUUUAUUAUAAUGUCCUGCUUUCAUUCUUUUUUCGUCUACCUGUUAUCUGUCUUCUUUCUUGCUUUAUCUCCUUCUUUUGGUCAAUUUUCUCUUCAAUAGUUAAAAUUAAUCAAUUUUGAAGCAUGAAUUUGGUGAAAGACCAAUUAAAAAUUUGAAUAUAUUGUUCUGGCCAUUUGGUCUUGGAAGAAAUGCUGUUGAUAAUGGUCAAUUGAAAAGAUUAAAGAGUGUGUGGAAGUUCUUACAGUUGUCAGCUUUUGUGUUAGAAAGAAUUCCUUUCAGCUCUCGCGUAUGGUUUGAACUUGCAGUCAUGGGGAAUGUUGUAGAAGCGUGCAUCCUCAUUGGUACAUGCAUCCUCAUUGGUACAUUCAAAUGCCACCAUAAAUACGUAUCUAUACAUUAUAUAAAGCUAGUAUAGUAGCAGUUGUUGUAAACAUUUUUGCAUUUUUUGAAAUUCCAAUUUUACCCUUAGAAAAACUAAUUUACAUCCUAAUCACCUAAUCACAGCUUGCCAACAUAGCCGCUCAUAACUACCCUAAGUAUUGUAACUACCAAAUUAACUAUAAUCUCAUUGAAGCAAAUAUUAAUAAAUCAAAGUUCUUUAAUGAAAAAUGUUAAUGUAAAAAAACAUAAUUUGCGCAAAACUAAUUCAUGUAAUAAAUUAAUUAUUUCUAAAUUGGACACAUAUCUGUGUGUUCUUAACACUAAUAUUAUAAUAUCCUGGAGAGCUUCCUGAGAGAGCGUGAUGUAUUGAUGAUCAACAAAAAACACAAUGAUAAAAUAAGAUAUGUGAAAUAUCACUUUGGUGCACGAAGGUAACAACCAUGGAGUUAGAUGAUGGUCUACCAGACUAACACUGUCUUGAACCACUCAAAAAGCAAGAAAAAAAAAAACAGUCUUGAACUAUUUGUUAUGCCCCAUAUUUGUGGAGUUUUUAGGGUGAGGAAAGUGUGACUAAUUAAUAUCUGUGAUAACUAUAGAAUUUUGUUCGUCUCUGUUCUUUUGGUUCUUUUUUAUGAAAUGCUAAUCUCUACACUACAGGAAACGUUUAGCAUCUCUAUCACACAAAUAGGAAGCCAUGUGGAAAUCAUGCCAUGGAAAAAACAAAAUCAUAUGUUGCCUUAGGGACACUGGUUUAGCUGUAGACAAUAGGCCACGUCUCUCCCUAUAAAUUCACUUCUUGUGCAUUUUUCUUCAGCUUUCUUAUAUUGUCAACCAGUGUCCACUUGUUACUUGCUUCAAUAUAUUACAGAAGCAAGUUCCAGCAUACAGUUCUCACCUGUGAAAUUCCUUGAGUUUUUGAAUCUUAAUCCUUUUAUGAACAGUCCAGCAUUUAAAGAAAAUUAGCUUAAUUUGAUUUCAAGUUGGUGAACAUUUUGCAAGUUUGACUGAGCUUAAGCAAGAUAAUUGGUUUCUUGGUUGGAGUUUGUAUUGGAAAAGUUCAAUGUCUGACGCAGGUUGUUGAAUAUUGUUCUUCAGAUUACAAGGUCGAUGACUAUUUGGCAUUUUCAGUUCAUAAAAGGAUGCAUUGAGGUCUCCUUAAUGUGUAUUAUCCUAUUAUUGUUAUUAGAUGCAUUUAUUCAUUUACAAAGAUCAGAUACUGACUUGGUGUAUCUAUUAAGAGCAGUUAUUUUCCAAUUUGCAUCAGUUUCAUUAAGAUGCUUUUUGGUGCAAUACUAUUAAUGUUAUAGCUGCAUACAGUGUCAUGAAGUUUCUAAAUCUUGGUGAUCUCCUUACUGUAGAUUACUUAUUGCACAUGGUGACACUUUAAGUACUUACAUGCUUGCAAUCUUUUUUUAAACAUUUAAAAAA
Molecule: long non-coding RNA, 17797 nt
Filed under: Coffea arabica (coffee)
Lineage: Eukaryota; Viridiplantae; Streptophyta; Magnoliopsida; Gentianales; Rubiaceae
Description: long non-coding RNA (CARA_LNC000793)
Source: RNAcentral